CUCGCGGGGGAUUCCCGCCCAAGGGCCGAGCCCGCCCGCGGAGCCGCCGCGGCGCCACGAGAUGGCGCCGUCGCCACAGCAAAAGCGCUCCUGAGCGGCGGCGCUUCUGGCGACCUUCCGAGAUGGUGCUAAACGCACCUCGAAAAUAAACAAACAAACAAAAAAGACGUUAGUUUCGUGGCCAGCAAUGUGGCAAGGAUCGUAGGGGGGAAAGAAAGGGGCUUUGAAAGAGUAAUCUGUAAUCUCUGAGUUAGCAAAUUGGCCUCAAGAAAGGAAAGCAAACGUGCAUGUGAGACAACCUGGGCAGCGCUGCGGUUCUGAAGAAAAACAGCCUUUUUCUGACUGAAGAGGAUGAAGGAAAACAAGAGCUUUGCAACAACCCCCUAUCACUGCUGUGCAAUCCCAAUUCAAGCCUUUCGUGGCUCUGGGAAAGUGGCAGGAGCUCUGCUUGACACCAUUAACCUUGACUGUCAGGGUUCUUUGUGGGUAUGAAGGGUUACAGUCCUUUUACUGACCUGUCCUGCUUCUGAGGAUAACCAAGCUGCCAGCAGCACUGCACAGAGGGGUAAGUGUUUGCAUGUGCCUCCUCCAGGAGUGAUCACCGUUGUGUACUUGCUUAGUACCAUGUUUCUGUCUUUGUUCAGGCCUCCACCCAGUGUAGGAGGGUCUCGGCUGGAACUCAGUGAGCCCCUUCCUGACUUCUUGCUGUCUGCCAUGUACUUCCAUCCAUGUGUUUGUUAUGUUAGCUGCUCUGGAUAAAAUAGCCCCUUUUUGCAGAAACCUGCUGUAUCUUUCAUUGUGUUAACUUUGCACCCUGUGUUUUAAUGCCAAGUCAGUUGUGUCCCCUGCCAUUUCACUUGCCAUUUCUGCUCAGCCUCUGGCUGCUCAAGAAACCCUUAAUGCUGGCCUGUAUUUACUGAUGAUGGAGCUUUUCAUGGUUUUGUGAAGAAGUGCAUGCUGCUUUUGAUCAUGGAGGGAAUUAUUGCAGGAAACAACUGCUGACCUUUGGAAAUCUUAAGCACGAAGCUUUCUUUUCGUCUGAGAUCUUAUUGGAGGUAAUUCUCAAAACUCACAGACAAGCUAUUCAUAG
This 1090-nucleotide long non-coding RNA is filed under the name Numida meleagris (helmeted guineafowl). RNAcentral's name for it is "lncRNA (ENSNMEG00000019008.1)". The record is from RNAcentral. Lineage: Eukaryota; Metazoa; Chordata; Aves; Galliformes; Numididae.